GGCUGUACAAAAGGAAACUAC
RNAcentral lists this microRNA (21 nucleotides) under Glycine max (soybean). Its description in RNAcentral is "gma-miR5033". Lineage: Eukaryota; Viridiplantae; Streptophyta; Magnoliopsida; Fabales; Fabaceae. The record is from miRBase by way of RNAcentral.